UACCCAGUGGCGGACGGGUGAGUAACACGUGGGAAUCUGCCUGUGGGUGGGGGAAUAACUGACCGAAAGGUUAGCUAAUACCCCAUAUGCCGAAAGGUAAAAGGAGUAAUUCGCCUGCAGAUGAGCCCGCGUCCGAUUAGCUAGUUGGUAGGGUAAAGGCUUACCAAGGCAACGAUCGGUAGCUGGUCUGAGAGGAUGAUCAGCCACAAUGGAACUGAGACACGGUCCAU
This 230-nucleotide ribosomal RNA is filed under the name uncultured bacterium. RNAcentral's name for it is "partial 16S ribosomal RNA". It matches the Rfam family "Bacterial small subunit ribosomal RNA", at positions 89 to 334 of the family's 1533-position model. The record is from RNAcentral.